RNAcentral lists this small RNA (750 nucleotides) under Arabidopsis thaliana (thale cress). RNAcentral describes it as "ATSL083990". Lineage: Eukaryota; Viridiplantae; Streptophyta; Magnoliopsida; Brassicales; Brassicaceae. The record is from RNAcentral.
AAAAAUACUUUUAAAAAUCCUUGUAAUUUUUUUUGCCGGGAAAGAGAUUUACAAGGGAUUUUAAAAGGGUUUUAAAAGAUUUACAAGAGAUUUUAAAAGGGUUUUAAAAUAUUUACAAGGGAUUUUAAAAGGGUUUUAAAAAAUUUACAAGUGAUUUUAAAAGAUUUACAAGGGAUUUUAAAAGGUUUUAAAAAAAUUUACAAAAGUUUAUAAUUGAUCUUGUAAAUUCUUUAAAAAUCUUUUAAAACUCUUUUAAAGCAUUUAAAAAUCUCUUGUAAAUCUUUUAAAACCCUUUUAAAAUCCCUUGUAAAUCUUUUAAAACACUUUUAAACCCUUUAAAAAUCUUUAAAAAAACCUUUAUAAAUCUUUUAAAACUCUUUAAAAUCUCUUGUAAAUAUUUUAAAACCCUUUUAAAAUCCCUUGUAAAUCUUUUAAAACCCUUUUAAAAUCUCUUGUAAAUGUUUUAAAACCUUUUUAAAAUAAUUUUAAACCCUUUAAAAAUCGUUAAAAAACUUUUGUAAAUCUUUUAAAGCCCUUUAAAAUCCCUUGUAAAUAUUAUAAAACCCUUUUAAAAUCCCUUGUAAAUCUAUUUCCCGCCAAAAAAACUUUUUUUCGCGGAAAAAAUAUUUUUGGAAAAGAAAUUUUGGCGGGAAUUCUAUUUUUGAAAUUUUUUGGCGGGAAAAGAUUUUGAUGGAAACAUUUUGGCGGGAAAUUUAUUUUAGAAUAUUUUAAGCGAAAAAAUUUUCUUAA